GACGUAGGGCGCGAGCGUUGUCCGGAUUUAUUGGGCGUAAAGAGCUCGUAGGCGGCUUGUCGCGUCGUCCGUGAAAACUUGGGGCUCAACCUCCAGCCUGCAGUGGGUACGGGCAGACUAGAGUGCGGUAGGGGAGAUUGGAAUUCCUGGUGUAGCGGUGGAAUGCGCAGAUAUCAGGAGGAACACCGAUGGCGAAGGCAGAUCUCUGGGCCGUAACUGACGCUGAGGAGCGAAAGCGUGGGGAGCAAACAGG
Molecule: ribosomal RNA, 253 nt
Filed under: uncultured bacterium
Lineage: Bacteria
Description: partial 16S ribosomal RNA
Rfam family: Bacterial small subunit ribosomal RNA
Source: RNAcentral